UGACCCUUCCCAAAUGGAUCCCUCCCAAACGGAUCCUUCCCAAACUGACCCUUCCCAAAAGGAUCCAUCCCAAAUUGAUCCUCCCCAAACGGACCCUCCCCAAACUGACUCUUCCCAAAUUAACCUUUCCCAAAUGGAUCCUUCCCAAAUGAACUCUUCCCAAAUUAACCUUUCCCAAAUGAACUCUUCCCAAAUUAACCUUGCCCACGUUGACCCUUCCCAAAUGGAUCCAUCCCAAAUUGAUCUUUCCCAAAUGGACCCUUCCCAAACGGAGAGCAAACCAGAGGCGCUACAAGAGCUCCCACAUUCCCAAGGGCAGCAGGAUCCUCAAUUCCAUCCAGGGAUCGAGGAGGAUCCAGCCCCACCAGCUGAGGGACAGAUUCCAAAAUUACAUUCCCAGUAUUUGGGGAACACACCCACGUGCACACCCAUGGGGUUUGGAUGGGAAAACCAAGGCAAUUCCCAGCAGGAAUGGGACAAGGAAGGGGAUGGGUUUGUAGGGAAUUCUACCAGGAGCCAUCCCUGGUGGGAUGAAUCCCCUUCCCGGGAUGCCUGUCCUGCUCCUGGAAUGUCCUGGGGCAUUCCUGGGAUUCCUGCCUGGCCCAGGAGAUGGGAAAUCCAGAGCAGGGAUUUUUCUUUUUUUUCCCCCCUCGCAUUUUUCUUUUUUUUUCCCCCUUGCAUUUUUCAUUUUUUUUCCCUUGCAUUUUUCCCUUUUUUUUUUCCCUUGGAUUUUUCUUUUUUUUUCCUCCUUGCAUUUUUCUUUUUUUUUUCCUUGGAUUCCUUUCUUUCCUUCCCUUUUUUUUCCUGCCCAAGCUGCUUUUCUUGGAUCCCUCACAGCGUGGGGAGUCCCCAUGGGAGGAGGAAUGACCCAGCUGCAAUCCAGGGAAAGGCAGAGGUCGGGCUCAGUCUCCUUUUCCAGCUCCUUUGCAGCUUCCAGGGAUUCUCACAUCACGUCUGGGAGCAGCCAGGAGAGAAAAGGAAUUUUUUCAGGCAGCUUGGACACGGUUUUAUAGGAGGCUGACAGAGCCAAAGCGCUGGAAUUCCCAUCUCAAUCCCAAUUAAAUUUCCA
Molecule: long non-coding RNA, 1069 nt
Filed under: Junco hyemalis (dark-eyed junco)
Lineage: Eukaryota; Metazoa; Chordata; Aves; Passeriformes; Passerellidae
Description: lncRNA (ENSJHYG00000017411.1)
Source: RNAcentral